Molecule: ribosomal RNA, 1495 nt
Filed under: Polycentropsis abbreviata
Lineage: Eukaryota; Metazoa; Chordata; Actinopteri; Polycentridae
Description: partial 16S ribosomal RNA
Rfam family: Bacterial large subunit ribosomal RNA
Source: RNAcentral
CGCCCAACAGCUAGCCCACCCAACUAAUUUCAACACUUCCCUAUUUUUAACCCCUAAAAACCUGCAAAAACUAAAUAAAUCAUUCUUCCCCCCGAGUAUGGGCGACAGAAAAGGUAUUUGGAGCCAUAGAAACCGUACCGCAAGGGAACGCUGAAAGAGAAAUGAAAUAACUCAGUAAAGCCUUGAAAAGCAGAGACCCCCCCCUCGUACCUUUUGCAUCAUGAUUUAGCAAGUACCCCCCAAGCAAAGAGCACUUUAGUUUGAUCCCCCGAAACUAAGUGAGCUACUCCAAGACAGCCUAUAAUAUAGGGCCCCCCCGUCUCUGUGGCAAAAGAGUGGGAAGAGCUUUGAGUAGAGGUGAUAGACCUACCGAACUUAGUGAUAGCUGGUUGCCUGCGAAUUGAAUAGAAGUUCAGCCUUUCAAAUUCUUUCCUUAUCUGGAACCUCCCUCCACAACAAAAAGAAGUUAAAAGAGUUAGUCAAAGGGGGUACAGCCCCUUUGAAACAGGUACAACUUUACCCAGGCGGAUAAAGAUCAUACUAAUAAAGGUAUCAUGCUCAAGUGGGCUUAAAAGCAGCCACCCUAUCAGAUAGCGUUAAAGCUCAAGCACCUAAUAACCCCCGAUUCAGAUAACAAAUCUUACUCCCCUAACACUACCAGGCCCCUCCAUGCACCCAUGGAAGAGAUUCUGCUAAAAUGAGUAAUAAGGGAUACCCCCUCCCUCACCGCACACGUGUAAAUCGGAACGGACCCCCCACCGAAUAUUAACGGCCCCUAAACAAGUGGGCAUUGGCCUAAAAACAAAGAACAAGAAAAUCACCCAACACAAGCCCGUUAACCCCACACAGGAGUGCCCCCAAUGAAAGACUAAAAGAGAAAGAAGGAACUCGGCAAACAAGAAACCUCGCCUGUUUACCAAAAACACCGCCUCUUGAAAAAAAUAAGAGGUCCCGCCUGCCCUGUGACCCUGUGGUUUAACGGCCGCGGUAUUUUGACCGUGCAAAGGUAGCGCAAUCACUUGUCUUUUAAAUGAAGACCCGUAUGAAUGGCAUAACGAGGGUUUAACUGUCUCCUUUCUCCAGUCAAUGAAAUUGAUCUCCCCGUGCAGAAGCGGGGAUGUACACAUAAGACGAGAAGACCCUGUGGAGCUUAAGACCCCAAGACAGCCCGUCCUAAAUCCUCUCGGCUAUAAGACGUAAAACUUUUCGGCCCCUGUCUUACUGUCUUUGGUUGGGGCGACCACGGGGGAACAAAAAGCCCCCAUGCGGACCGGGGAGUUCUCCUCACAUCUAAGAGCCUCAGCUCUAAUAAACAGAAUUUCUGACCCACAGAUCCGGCAAAGCCGAUCAACGAACCGAGUUACCCCAGGGAUAACAGCGCAAUCCUCUUCUAGAGCCCCUAUCGACAAGAGGGUUUACGACCUCGAUGUUGGAUCAGGACAUCCUAAUGGUGCAGCCGCUAUUAAGGGUUCGUUUGUUCAACGAUUAAAGUCCU